UGGGGAAUUUUGGACAAUGGGCGCAAGCCUGAUCCAGCAAUGCCGCGUGCAGGAUGAAGGCCUUCGGGUUGUAAACUGCUUUUGUACGGAACGAAACGGCUCUGGUUAAUACCUGGGGCUAAUGACGGUACCGUAAGAAUAAGCACCGGCUAACUACGUGCCAGCAGCCGCGGUAAUACGUAGGGUGCGAGCGUUAAUCGGAAUUACUGGGCGUAAAGCGUGCGCAGGCGGUGAUGUAAGACAGAUGUGAAAUCCCCGGGCUCAACCUGGGAACUGCAUUUGUGACUGGAUAGCUAGAGUACGGCUGAGGGGGAUGGAAUUCCGCGUGUAGCAGCGAAAUGCGUAGAUAUGCGGAGGAACACCGAUGGCGAAGGCAAUCCCCUGGGCCUGUACUGACGCUCAUGCACGAAAGCGUGGGGAGCAAACA
Molecule: ribosomal RNA, 427 nt
Filed under: uncultured bacterium
Lineage: Bacteria
Description: bacterial SSU rRNA
Rfam family: Bacterial small subunit ribosomal RNA
Source: RNAcentral